UACGGGGGGGGCAAGCGUUGUUCGGAAUUACUGGGCGUAAAGGGCGCGUAGGCGGCCUGUUAAGUCGAACGUGAAAUCCCCGGGCUCAACCCGGGAACUGCGUCCGAUACUGGCAGGCUUGAAUCCGGGAGAGGGAUGCGGAAUUCCAGGUGUAGCGGUGAAAUGCGUAGAUAUCAGGAGGAACACCGAUGGCGAAGGCAGCUCGCUGGGACGGUACUGACGCUGAGGCGCGAAAGCGUGGGGAGCGAACAGG
This 253-nucleotide ribosomal RNA is filed under the name uncultured bacterium. Its description in RNAcentral is "partial 16S ribosomal RNA". It matches the Rfam family "Bacterial small subunit ribosomal RNA", at positions 524 to 776 of the family's 1533-position model. The record is from RNAcentral.